This 501-nucleotide ribosomal RNA is filed under the name uncultured bacterium. RNAcentral describes it as "partial 16S ribosomal RNA". It matches the Rfam family "Bacterial small subunit ribosomal RNA", at positions 30 to 523 of the family's 1533-position model. The record is from RNAcentral.
AUUGAACGCUGGCGGCAGGCUUAACACAUGCAAGUCGAGCGGGGGAAGGUAGCUUGCUACCGGACCUAGCGGCGGACGGGUGAGUAAUGCUUAGGAAUCUGCCUAUUAGUGGGGGACAACAUCUCGAAAGGGAUGCUAAUACCGCAUACGUCCUACGGGAGAAAGCUGGGGAUCUUCGGACCUUGCGCUAAUAGAUGAGCCUAAGUCGGAUUAGCUAGUUGGUGGGGUAAAGGCCUACCAAGGCGACGAGCCGUAGCGGGUCUGAGAGGAUGAUCCGCCACACUGGGACUGAGACACGGCCCAGACUCCUACGGGAGGCAGCAGUGGGGAAUAUUGGACAAUGGGGGGAACCCUGAUCCAGCCAUGCCGCGUGUGUGAAGAAGGCCUUAUGGUUGUAAAGCACUUUAAGCGAGGAGGAGGCUACUUUAGUUAAUACCUAGAGAUAGUGGACGUUACUCGCAGAAUAAGCACCGGCUAACUCUGUGCCAGCCGCCGCGGUAA